AUUGAACGCUGGCGGCAUGCCUUACACAUGCAAGUCGAACGGCAGCACGGGUGCUUGCACCUGGUGGCGAGUGGCGACCGGGUGAGUAAUACAUCGGAACAUGUCCUGUAGUGGGGGCUAGCCCUGCGAAAGCCGGAUUACUACCGCAUACGAUCCACGGAUGAAUGCGGGGACCUUCGGGCCUCGCGCUAUAGGGUUAGGCGAUGGCUGAUCAGCUAGUUGGUGGGGUAAAGGCCUACCAAGGUGACGAGCAGUAUCUGGUCUGAGACGACGACCAGCCAGAUUGGGACUGAGACACGGCACAGACUCCGACGCUAGGCAGCAGUCGGGAAUUUUGGGCGAUGGGCGAGAGCCUGAUCCAGCAAUGCCGCGUGUGUGAAGAAGGCCUUCGGGUUGGAAAACACUUUUGUCCGUAAAGAAAUCCUUGUCUCUAAUACGGGCGGAGAAUGACGGUACCGGAAGAAGAAGCACCGGCUAACUACGUG
RNAcentral lists this ribosomal RNA (485 nucleotides) under uncultured bacterium. RNAcentral describes it as "partial 16S ribosomal RNA". It matches the Rfam family "Bacterial small subunit ribosomal RNA", at positions 30 to 507 of the family's 1533-position model. The record is from RNAcentral.